AUACGGAAGGUCCGGGCGUUAUCCGGAUUUAUUGGGUUUAAAGGGAGCGCAGGCGGAGAUGCAAGCGUGACGUCAAAUUUCGGGGCUCAACCCCGUCUCGCGUCGCGAACUGCGUCCCUUGGUUGCGGGAAGGGGAGGCGGAACUCGUGGUGUAGCGGUGAAAUGCAUAGAUAUCACGAAGAACUCCGAUCGCGAAGGCAGCCCUCCGGCCCGUCAACGACGCUCAUGCUCGAAGGUGCGGGUAUCAAACAGGAUUAGAUACCCUUGUAGUCCGCACAGUAAACGAUGGACACCCGCGGUUUGGCCUAUAUGGCUGAGCCGCCAAGCGAAAGCGUUAAGUGUCCCACCUGGGGAGUACGCCGGCAACGGUGAAACUCAAAUGAAUUGACGGGG
RNAcentral lists this ribosomal RNA (393 nucleotides) under uncultured bacterium. RNAcentral's name for it is "partial 16S ribosomal RNA". It matches the Rfam family "Bacterial small subunit ribosomal RNA", at positions 523 to 918 of the family's 1533-position model. The record is from RNAcentral.